GCCUGAGAUGGAUGAGCAGAGGGCAUGGGACUCUUGGGCUGAGCUCUCAGGUUGAAAAGCAGACAGCAAGCAGCUGGAGGGCAAGUCUGAGAAAUGUAACAGAGAGCAGCUCUGGGAAUUCACGUUUCUUGGCAGAAGUUCUGUGGACCCACCCCUAUUGCUGAACAGGUAACUUGGACCACAUUCAGGCUGAGAGUGGCUGAUG
Long non-coding RNA from Harpia harpyja (harpy eagle), 205 nucleotides. RefSeq lists it as uncharacterized. The record is from RefSeq and is a predicted model, not a curated record. Lineage: Eukaryota; Metazoa; Chordata; Aves; Accipitriformes; Accipitridae. The transcript has 3 exons.